UUAUUCUUUGUAACAAAUAUAUUUUUUUUAAAAAAAAAAUAUUUGUUAAAAAAAACAAAGAAUAAG
Molecule: transfer RNA, 66 nt
Filed under: Hammerschmidtiella sp. ZengetLiu-2016
Lineage: Eukaryota; Metazoa; Nematoda; Chromadorea; Rhabditida; Thelastomatidae
Description: tRNA-Leu
Source: RNAcentral